Molecule: ribosomal RNA, 2916 nt
Filed under: Alteromonas sp. KS69
Lineage: Bacteria; Pseudomonadati; Pseudomonadota; Gammaproteobacteria; Alteromonadales; Alteromonadaceae
Description: 23S ribosomal RNA
Rfam family: Bacterial large subunit ribosomal RNA
Source: RNAcentral
GUUGUAUGGUUAAGUGACUAAGCGUAUACGGUGGAUGCCUUGGCAGUUAGAGGCGAUGAAGGACGUGUAAGUCUGCGAAAAGCUGUGGUGAGCCGACAAAAUGCAUUUGAGCCACAGAUGUCCGAAUGGGGAAACCCACCUAUUUAUAGGUAUCGUUACAUGAAUAUAUAGUGUAACGAGGCGAACGAGGGGAACUGAAACAUCUAAGUACCCUUAGGAAAAGAAAUCAACCGAGAUUCCCCUAGUAGCGGCGAGCGAACGGGGAUUAGCCCUUAAGCAAUUAUGAACGUAGUGGAAGCCUCUGGGAAGUGGCGCGAUACAAGGUGAUAGCCCUGUACACGAAGUGUUUGUUUUUGUGAAAUCGAGUAGGUCGGGACACGUGUUAUCUUGACUGAAUAUGGGGGGACCAUCCUCCAAGGCUAAAUACUCCUAACUGACCGAUAGUGAACCAGUACCGUGAGGGAAAGGCGAAAAGAACCCCUGUGAGGGGAGUGAAAUAGAACCUGAAACCGUAUACGUACAAGCAGUGGGAGCNNNNNNNNNNNNNNNNNNNNNNNNNNNNNNGUGACUGCGUACCUUUUGUAUAAUGGGUCAGCGACUUAUAUUUAGUAGCAAGGUUAAGCGAAUAGCGGAGCCGUAGCGAAAGCGAGUGUUAACUGCGCGUUUAGUUGCUAGGUAUAGACCCGAAACCCGGUGAUCUAGCCAUGGGCAGGUUGAAGGUUGAGUAACAUCAACUGGAGGACCGAACCCACUAACGUUGAAAAGUUAGGGGAUGACUUGUGGCUGGGGGUGAAAGGCCAAUCAAACCGGGAGAUAGCUGGUUCUCCCCGAAAUCUAUUUAGGUAGAGCCUCGGACGAAUUCCAUUGGGGGUAGAGCACUGUUAAGGCUAGGGGGUCAUCCCGACUUACCAACCCUUUGCAAACUCCGAAUACCAAUGAGAACUAUCCGGGAGACACACGGCGGGUGCUAACGUCCGUCGUGAAGAGGGAAACAACCCAGACCGCCAGCUAAGGUCCCAAAAUAUUGCUAAGUGGGAAACGAUGUGGGAAGGCAUAGACAGCUAGGAGGUUGGCUUAGAAGCAGCCACCCUUUAAAGAAAGCGUAAUAGCUCACUAGUCGAGUCGGCCUGCGCGGAAGAUGUAACGGGGCUAAGCAAUAUACCGAAGCUGCGGAUACGUGUUUACACGUAUGGUAGGGGAGCGUUGUGUAAGUGGAUGAAGGUGGAUUGAGAAGUCUGCUGGACAUAUCACAAGUGCGAAUGCUGACAUGAGUAACGAUAAUGGGAGUGAAAAACUCCCACGCCGGAAGACCAAGGUUUCCUGUCCCAUGCUAAUCAGGGCAGGGUAAGUCGGCCCCUAAGGCGAGGCAGAAAUGCGUAGUCGAUGGGAAACGGAUUAAUAUUUCCGUACUUAUAUAAUCAGUGAUGGAGGGACGGAGAAGGCUAAGCAAGCUUGGCGUUGGUUGUCCAAGUGAAAGCAAGUAGGCCGAGAAUUUAGGUAAAUCCGGAUUCUUAAAGCUGAGAUGCGAGACGAGCCACUACGGUGGUGAAGUUGUUGAUGCCCUGCUUCCAGGAAAAGCUUCUAAACUUAUGAUUAUAUGAACCGUACCCCAAACCGACACAGGUGGUCAGGUAGAGAAUACUAAGGCGCUUGAGAGAACUCGGGUGAAGGAACUCGGCAAAAUUGUACCGUAACUUCGGGAGAAGGUACGCCCUUGUUUGUGAUAGGACUUGCUCCUUGAGCAGAUGAGGGCCGCAGUGACCAGGUGGCUGGGACUGUUUAUUAAAAACACAGCACUCUGCUAACUCGCAAGAGGACGUAUAGGGUGUGACACCUGCCCGGUGCCGGAAGGUUAAUUGAUGGGGUUAUCUUCGGAGAAGCUCUUGAUCGAAGCCCCGGUAAACGGCGGCCGUAACUAUAACGGUCCUAAGGUAGCGAAAUUCCUUGUCGGGUAAGUUCCGACCUGCACGAAUGGUGUAACCAUGGCCACGCUGUCUCCACCCGAGACUCAGUGAAAUUGAAAUCGCAGUGAAGAUGCUGUGUACCCGCACCUAGACGGAAAGACCCCGUGAACCUUUACUACAGCUUGGCACUGAACAUUGAACCUACAUGUGUAGGAUAGGUGGGAGGCUUCGAAGCACAGUCGCUAGAUUGUGUGGAGCCGUCCUUGAAAUACCACCCUUGUAUGUUUGAUGUUCUAACAUUGGUCCCUUAUCGGGAUUAUGGACAGUGUCUGGUGGGUAGUUUGACUGGGGCGGUCUCCUCCCAAAUAGUAACGGAGGAGCACGAAGGUUAGCUAAUCACGGUCGGACAUCGUGAGGUUAGUGCAAUGGCAUAAGCUAGCUUAACUGCGAGACAGACACGUCGAGCAGGUACGAAAGUAGGUCAUAGUGAUCCGGUGGUUCUGUAUGGAAGGGCCAUCGCUCAACGGAUAAAAGGUACUCCGGGGAUAACAGGCUGAUACCGCCCAAGAGUUCAUAUCGACGGCGGUGUUUGGCACCUCGAUGUCGGCUCAUCACAUCCUGGGGCUGAAGUCGGUCCCAAGGGUAUGGCUGUUCGCCAUUUAAAGUGGUACGCGAGCUGGGUUUAGAACGUCGUGAGACAGUUCGGUCCCUAUCUGGUGUGGGCGUUGGAUGAUUGAUGGGAGCUGCUCCUAGUACGAGAGGACCGGAGUGGACGAACCGCUGGUGUUCGGGUUGUCAUGCCAAUGGCAUUGCCCGGUAGCUACGUUCGGAACGGAUAACCGCUGAAAGCAUCUAAGCGGGAAGCCGGCCCAAAGAUGAGUCAUCCCUGACUUUUAAAGUCCGGAAGGGUUGUUAUAGACGAUGACGUUGAUAGGCAGGAUGUGGAAGCGUUGUAAGGCGUUAAGCUAACCUGUACUAAUUGCCCGAGAGGCUUAACCAUACAACGCCCAAG